Molecule: transfer RNA, 83 nt
Filed under: Lentinula aciculospora
Lineage: Eukaryota; Fungi; Basidiomycota; Agaricomycetes; Agaricales; Omphalotaceae
Rfam family: tRNA
About the family: Transfer RNA (tRNA) molecules are approximately 80 nucleotides in length.
Source: Rfam by way of RNAcentral
GUCCCCGUCGAUUAGUGGUUAGAUCAUCACGUUGUGGAUUAAGCAGCACCGUGAAGACGCAGGCUCGACUCCUGCCAGGGACA